This 383-nucleotide ribosomal RNA is filed under the name uncultured organism. Its description in RNAcentral is "bacterial SSU rRNA". It matches the Rfam family "Bacterial small subunit ribosomal RNA", at positions 45 to 432 of the family's 1533-position model. The record is from RNAcentral.
UGCUUAACACAUGCAAGUCGAACGGUAGCAGGCCUUCGGGCGCUGACGAGUGGCGGACGGGUGAGUAAUGCAUAGGAAUCUGCCGAUUAGUGGGGGACAACGUGGGGAAACUCACGCUAAUACCGCAUACGCCCUACGGGGGAAAGCGGGGGACCUUCGGGCCUCGCGCUAAUCGAUGAGCCUAUGUUGGAUUAGCUAGUUGGUAGGGUAAAGGCCUACCAAGGCGACGAUCCAUAGCUGGUCUGAGAGGAUGAUCAGCCACACUGGGACUGAGACACGGCCCAGACUCCUACGGGAGGCAGCAGUGGGGAAUAUUGGACAAUGGGCGCAAGCCUGAUCCAGCAAUACCGCGUGUGUGAAGAAGGCCUGAGGGUUGUAAAGUC